UAUAUGGAGCUUGCUUUAUAUAACUUAGCAGCGAACGGGUGAGUAACACGUAGAUAAUCUAUCCUAUACUGGGGGAUAGCCCGAUGAAAGUUGGAUUAAUACCGCAUAUAGCUAUAUAGUUGCAUGAUUAUGUAGUGAAAGAUUUAUUGGUAUAGGAGGAGUCUGCGGCACAUUAGCUAGUAGGUGAGGUAAAGGCUUACCUAGGCGACGAUGUGUAGCCGGUCUGAGAGGAUGAACGGCCACAAUGGAACUGAGACACGGUCCAUACUCCUACGGGAGGCAGCAGUGGGGAAUAUUGCACAAUGGGGGAAACCCUGAUGCAGCAACGCCGCGUGAGUGAAGAAGGUUUUCGGAUUGUAAAGCUCUGUUAGCAGGGAAGAGGAAGGACGGUACCUGCAGAGGAAGCCACGGCUAACUACGUGCCAGCAGCCGCGGUAAUACGUAGGUGGCAAGCGUUGUUCGGAAUAACUGGGCGUAAAGGAUGCGUAGGCGGUUAAACAAGUUAUAUGUUAAAUAUAUAGGCUUAACCUGUAGAAAGCAUAUAAAACUGUUUAACUAGAGUGCAGGAGAGGUAAGUGGAAUUCCUAGUGUAGCGGUGAAAUGCGUAGAGAUUAGGAAGAACACCAGUGGCGAAGGCGACUUACUGGACUGUAACUGACGCUGAGGCAUGAGAGCAUGGGGAGCAAACAGGAUUAGAUACCCUGGUAGUCCAUGCUGUAAACGAUGGGUACUANGUGUGGGUUGUGAAUAACAAUUCGUGCCGUCNCAAACGCAAUAAGUACCCCGC
RNAcentral lists this ribosomal RNA (787 nucleotides) under uncultured bacterium. Its description in RNAcentral is "bacterial SSU rRNA". It matches the Rfam family "Bacterial small subunit ribosomal RNA", at positions 70 to 872 of the family's 1533-position model. The record is from RNAcentral.